Molecule: long non-coding RNA, 205 nt
Organism: Cyprinus carpio (common carp)
Lineage: Eukaryota; Metazoa; Chordata; Actinopteri; Cypriniformes; Cyprinidae
Source: Ensembl
GGACCAGUGACCCCUGCUGUCUUGCAUCAGUCGACUGUGAAACCUGUUUUUUUUUUUCAGAAUCUCGAGUUCCAGUGAGAUUUGGCUGUGUUUAGGUUUGGCUUGGGUACCGUCUCCAUUCUCAGAUUCAUGAAGAUAGAGGAGGACACUGUCUACUCUCUCAGGUGGUUCCUGAAAUGAACUCUUGAAGCCAAAAAGACAUUAU